UACGAAGGGGGCUAGCGUUGCUCGGAAUCACUGGGCGUAAAGCGCACGUAGGCGGAUUGUUAAGUCAGGGGUGAAAUCCUGGGGCUCAACCUCGGAACUGCCUCUGAUACAGCAAGUCUUGAGUCCGGAAGAGGUGGGUGGAAUUCCUAGUGUAGAGGUGAAAUUCGUAGAUAUUAGGAAGAACACCGGUGGCGAAGGCGGCCCACUGGUCCGGUACUGACGCUGAGGUGCGAAAGCGUGGGGAGCAAACAGG
This 253-nucleotide ribosomal RNA is filed under the name uncultured bacterium. RNAcentral's name for it is "partial 16S ribosomal RNA". It matches the Rfam family "Bacterial small subunit ribosomal RNA", at positions 524 to 776 of the family's 1533-position model. The record is from RNAcentral.